RNAcentral lists this ribosomal RNA (253 nucleotides) under uncultured bacterium. RNAcentral's name for it is "partial 16S ribosomal RNA". It matches the Rfam family "Bacterial small subunit ribosomal RNA", at positions 524 to 776 of the family's 1533-position model. The record is from RNAcentral.
UACAGAGGGGGCAAGCGUUGUUCGGAAUUACUGGGCGUAAAGGGCGCGUAGGCGGCCUUCUAAGUCGAACGUGAAAUCCCUGGGCUCAACCCAGGAACUGCGUCCGAUACUGGAAGGCUUGAAUCCGGGAGAGGGAUGUGGAAUUCCCGGUGUAGGGGUGAAAUCCGUAGAUAUUCGCAAGAACACCAGUGGCGAAGGCGGCUCACUGGCCCGGUACUGACGCUGAGGUGCGAAAGCGUGGGGAGCAAACAGG